CUCACAGAAAUCGGCAUUACUUUUGUAAUGGCUAGCAUCGCAAUUUGGACACUUUUCCAAUACCGUGUACUCACCGCUGUACAAUAUGCAGUGGUCCCUGCACAUGUGUAUUCUUUGCACACGCAUCUUCAAUGGAUUGAUAAUCUUCUUUGCUUCGUAUGUGUUUUUUGGCACAAAGUUAGGCUUCGGGAGCAAAUUGCCAGAAGAGUAAGGAGAUCAUUAAAACUAUUGUCUGACCAGCUGAAUUUAGCCUUCAAGAUCAGAAGAUGAAGGACAAAACGCAGCACUGUCCACUCCUUCCCACAUCCCACAUACAUAUGGUCCUUUGCUGCCAUCUUGAGUGUCUUGAAAUUCUCUAACCCUUUAGCACUCCCUAGCAACACUUCCGGUUCAAUGUGGCGCAACAUGUCCUCCAUAUCAACAUCACGUUCCCCGUCCACCUAUGGUUCCACACGCGUAUCUGUUUGAUCACCAUUUUGAUCUCCACGGUCGAAAUCAUCAUCCAUCAUAACAUGAUCAUUUUCAUUUAAAUCAUCACCACCCACUUCAUCAUAGCCAGUAUCGAUGUCUGUGUUGUUGGAAGUAACUCCUGCCUCACCAUGGUGGGACCAAAUUGUGUAUCCAUCCACAAACCCUCGCUUAUCAAAUGCCUCAUGAUGACAUCAGUAUCCU
RNAcentral lists this long non-coding RNA (672 nucleotides) under Setaria viridis. Its description in RNAcentral is "long non-coding RNA (SVIR_LNC000639)". The record is from RNAcentral. Lineage: Eukaryota; Viridiplantae; Streptophyta; Magnoliopsida; Poales; Poaceae.